UUUAGUCAGGCAACAAGCGAGACCCACGCCCACAGUUGCCAGCGUACUCUCUGGAGUGACGGGUACACUGUGGGGACCGCCGCCGCUAAAGCGGAGGAAGGAAUGGGCAACGGUAGGUCAGUAUGCCCCGAAUGUCCCGGGCUACACGCGGGCUACAAUGGUUGGUACAAUGGGUAUCUACCCCGAAAGGGGAUGGAAAUCUCCUAAAGCCAAUCUUAGUUCGGAUCGAGGGCUGCAACUCGCCCUCGUGAAGCUGGAAUCCGUAGUAAUCGCGUUUCAAUAGAACGCGGUGAAUACGUCCCUGCUCCUUGCACA
This 315-nucleotide ribosomal RNA is filed under the name uncultured archaeon. RNAcentral describes it as "bacterial SSU rRNA". It matches the Rfam family "Archaeal small subunit ribosomal RNA", at positions 1029 to 1343 of the family's 1478-position model. The record is from RNAcentral.